Molecule: small nucleolar RNA, 124 nt
Organism: Castor canadensis (American beaver)
Lineage: Eukaryota; Metazoa; Chordata; Mammalia; Rodentia; Castoridae
Source: Ensembl
ACACCUAGAGGCCUUGCAGAUGUGGUGCUGUGUCACACUUCUGUUAGUUGGUGGCACAGAGAAGAGUCUGUGUCUAUGCUGUGAUUUGAACCAUAAACAUUCAAAUGAUUUGUCAACUGUCACU